This 76-nucleotide transfer RNA is filed under the name Streptomyces globosus. RNAcentral's name for it is "tRNA-Ala". It matches the Rfam family "tRNA". Rfam says of the family: Transfer RNA (tRNA) molecules are approximately 80 nucleotides in length. The record is from RNAcentral. Lineage: Bacteria; Bacillati; Actinomycetota; Actinomycetes; Kitasatosporales; Streptomycetaceae. RNAcentral also lists the same sequence under 18 other names.
GGGGCUAUAGCUCAGUUGGUAGAGCGCUUGCAUGGCAUGCAAGAGGUCAGGAGUUCAAUUCUCCUUAGCUCCACAA